AGAAUCAACGCUGGCGGCGUGCCUAACACAUGCAAGUCGCACGAGAAAGGGGAGCAAUCCCUGAGUAAAGUGGCGCACGGGUGAGUAACACGUGAAUCAUCUACCCUCGGGUGGGGAAUAACCUGGAGAAAUCCGGGCUAAUACCGCAUAACACUUACGAGUCAAAGCAGAAAUGCGCCUGGGGAGGAGUUCGCGGCCGAUUAGCUAGUUGGCGGGGUAAUGGCCCACCAAGGCGAUGAUCGGUAUCCGGCCUGAGAGGGCGCACGGACACACUGGAACUGAAACACGGUCCAGACUCCCUACGGGAGGCAGCAGUGGGGAAUUUUGCGCAAUGGGGGAAACCCUGACGCAGCAACGCCGCGUGGAGGAUGAAAUCCCUUGGGAUGUAAACUCCUUUCGAUCGGGAAGAUAAUGACGGUACCGAGAGAAGAAGCCCCGGCUAACUUCGCGCCAGCAGCCGC
RNAcentral lists this ribosomal RNA (461 nucleotides) under uncultured bacterium. RNAcentral's name for it is "SSU rRNA". It matches the Rfam family "Bacterial small subunit ribosomal RNA", at positions 26 to 518 of the family's 1533-position model. The record is from RNAcentral.